GAGGCCGAAAGGCGUAGUCGAUGGGAAACGGGUUAAUAUUCCCGUACUUGGUGUUACUGCGAAGGGGGGACGGAGAAGGCUAUGUUGGCCGGGCGACGGUUGUCCCGGUUUAAGCGUGUAGGUGUGUGUUCCAGGUAAAUCCGGUUCACUUUAACACUGAGGCGUGAUGACGAGGCACCACGGUGCUGAAGCAACAAAUGCCCUGCUUCCAGGAAAAGCCUCUAAGCAUCAGGUAACAUCAAAUCGUACCCCAAACCGACACAGGUGGUCAGGUAGAGAAUACCAAGGCGCUUGAGAGAACUCGGGUGAAGGAACUAGGCAAAAUGGUGCCGUAACUUCGGGAGAAGGCACGCUGACACGUAGGUGAAGUGAUUUACUCAUGGAGCUGAAGUCAGUCGAAGAUACCAGCUGGCUGCAACUGUUUAUUAAAAACACAGCACUGUGCAAACACGAAAGUGGACGUAUACGGUGUGACGCCUGCCCGGUGCCGGAAGGUUAAUUGAUGGGGUCAGCGCAAGCGAAGCUCCUGAUCGAAGCCCCGGUAAACGGCGGCCGUAACUAUAACGGUCCUAAGGUAGCGAAAUUCCUUGUCGGGUAAGUUCCGACCUGCACGAAUGGCGUAAUGAUGGCCAGGCUGUCUCCACCCGAGACUCAGUGAAAUUGAACUCGCUGUGAAGAUGCAGUGUACCCGCGGCAAGACGGAAAGACCCCGUGAACCUUUACUAUAGCUUGACACUGAACAUUGAGCCUUGAUGUGUAGGAUAGGUGGGAGGCUUUGAAGCGUGGACGCCAGUCUGCGUGGAGCCGACCUUGAAAUACCACCCUUUAAUGUUUGAUGUUCUAACGUGGACCCGUAAUCCGGGUUGCGGACAGUGUCUGGUGGGUAGUUUGACUGGGGCGGUCUCCUCCUAAAGAGUAACGGAGGAGCACGAAGGUUGGCUAAUCCUGGUCGGACAUCAGGAGGUUAGUGCAAUGGCAUAAGCCAGCUUGACUGCGAGCGUGACGGCGCGAGCAGGUGCGAAAGCAGGUCAUAGUGAUCCGGUGGUUCUGAAUGGAAGGGCCAUCGCUCAACGGAUAAAAGGUACUCCGGGGAUAACAGGCUGAUACCGCCCAAGAGUUCAUAUCGACGGCGGUGUUUGGCACCUCGAUGUCGGCUCAUCACAUCCUGGGGCUGAAGUAGGUCCCAAGGGUAUGGCUGUUCGCCAUUUAAAGUGGUACGCGAGCUGGGUUUAGAACGUCGUG
Molecule: ribosomal RNA, 1242 nt
Filed under: Salmonella enterica
Lineage: Bacteria; Pseudomonadati; Pseudomonadota; Gammaproteobacteria; Enterobacterales; Enterobacteriaceae
Description: partial 23S ribosomal RNA
Rfam family: Bacterial large subunit ribosomal RNA
Source: RNAcentral